Molecule: RNA transcript, 3870 nt
Organism: Selaginella moellendorffii
Lineage: Eukaryota; Viridiplantae; Streptophyta; Lycopodiopsida; Selaginellales; Selaginellaceae
Gene name: translocase of chloroplast 120, chloroplastic
Exons: 3
Source: RefSeq, a predicted model, not a curated record
AGCAGGACAAAUUUAGGGUUAGGGCUUUUAAAUGGUUUUUCUGUCCUUUUUCGUGGGCUAGGGUAUGCCGCCAUCGCCGGUGGCGUGAAGAAAUUCGCAGCCCCUCGCGACGACAAUCGAGCAGCAGCUGAGCUAUGGAGCCGGCCGCCGCUGAUGGAAUUCCGGAAGCCACGGCCGAUUUACCCGAGGAAUCGAAGAAUGCCGCCUUGGAAGAAUCGGCAGCUUCUCCGGGUAAGAUUGAGGCGGCCGUGAGCGAUUUCCCUGGCGAGAAGGAGGUGUCGUCGCCGAUUCCAAUCCGGGCGCCCGUGUCAGAGGAUGUGGAGGACGGCGGCGACAGCACUGGCAGCGGCGAGAGCUUCGACAGUGCGCUGGAGAGGAUGGCUGGGUCUUCCACUGCGAGCUUUGACAGUGCUGCCAGCCCGCGGGCCCAGGUGAUUGAGGAGUCGGACACCGCCAGGGUGAUGCCCAAGGCAGUGCUUUCUUCCGAGGAUAAGAGAGGAGGGAGCUCCAGCAGUAGCUCCAGCAGUAGCAGCAGCAGUGAUGAUGACGAAGAGGGUGAGAAGGGAGUGGAGUCGACUGGAGAGACUGGGGACUUUGACGAUUCCGCCAUGCCUGUGGCCAAGGUGUCUACCGAGGAUUUGGAAUCCGAGCAAGCUGACGAGCCAGUGGAGAAGAUAGGAGAUAUGGAUGGUGAGGAAGAAGAAGGAGAGGAGGAAACGAACCCGGAGCCCGAGGCGGUGGAGCCUCAGUCGGCUCAAGGCUUGCGAGUGAGUACCGAUGAUUUUGACACUAAGGUAGCUGACGAAGAUGAGCCUCGAGCGAUUGAGGAGCCUCAAUCGGCGGAAGGCUUGCGGGUUCUGGGAGCUGACGACGAUGGUCCCGAAGGAAGCGAUGAGCCGAUGAUUGCUGAGAAGAUAGAAGAACCAGCUGAGAAGAUAGAAGGUGAGAAAGUACACGAGGAACCUCAAACCGAAAGAGUGGAAGGGGGACCAGUAGCUGAGGAAGUGCAAGCAGGACCAGAGGAACAACCAAAAGAACCAGGAAAGGAACCAGUAAAGGAACCAAGCGACAUUGUUGAUCGCAUCGAAAACGAUAAGAAGCCCGAGGAUGAUGAGAAUGAAAAGCAUGAAGAAGUAGAUUAUAAGAAGCCCGAGGAAGCUGGGAAUGAAAAGCAUGGAGAAGCAGAUGUUAUUGGCUCGGCUGCAGAGGCAGUAAGGUCCCAGGAGGAGCGUGAACCAGUGCCUGAGACGGAUUCUGACGAGGAGGAAGAGGAAGAGGUUGAUACGAGUGCAGCGUUGAGAGCUUUCGCUCAAGCUGCUGCAGCAACUGAGACGCCGUCACUUGGUUCUGCCGGUCCUUCACUGCCUGCCAAGCCGACAGCGACGCGGCUGUUGUCUUCGAUUGAGGGAGCACGGAACACUCAAGUAGCUGCUCACAAUCCUUCUGGCGGCUCUGAAACUACAACAGCUGUUGAGGCCGCUGACACCAAUGGAGAACCGAAUGACGAGAACGUGGAAACACGAGAAAAGUUGCAGAUGAUACGGGUGAAGUUCUUGAGACUUGCCCAGAGGCUGGGACAGUCUGCGAACAACGCUGUGGUGGCACAAGUCCUCUACAGGCUUGGCCUAGCCGAGCAGUUGAGAGGGGGGCGCAGCUCAAGCAGGAAUAGCGCUUUCCGUUUUGAGAGAGCAAGUGCUAUCGCGGAGGAACAGGAAGCGGCUGGCCAGGAGGAGCUGGACUUUACUUGCACCAUUAUGGUCCUUGGGAAAUCAGGAGUUGGCAAGAGUGCCACCAUAAAUUCUCUCUUCGACGAGGCAAAGACCGAGACGAAUGCUUUUGCAUACUCGACGAAGAAGGUGCAGGAGAUUACUGGCACGGUUCAUGGAAUCAAGCUGCGAGUUAUCGACACUCCUGGACUGCUACCUGCCGUGGCCGAUCAACGCCACAAUGAGAAGAUCAUGGCAUCCGUCAAGCGGUUUAUCAAGAAAUCUCCUCCAGACAUUGUACUCUACUUCGACAGGCUCGACAUGCAGAGCAGGGACUAUGGUGAUCUUCCACUGCUCCGGACUAUCACAGAUACUUUUGGAGCUGCCAUUUGGUUCAACGCGAUAGUUGUCCUGACGCAUGCUUCUUCGGCUCCUCCCGAUGGACCCAACGGCCUUCCUCUCAGCUACGAGAUGUUUGUUGCACAGCGCUCGCACGUUGUUCAGCAGACUAUUCGUCAAGCAGCGGGUGAUAUGAGACUUAUGAACCCGGUGUCGCUUGUGGAGAAUCAUUCAGCUUGCAGAACGAACAGGUCCGGCGAGAGGGUUCUUCCCAAUGGACAAGUUUGGAAGCCUCAACUUUUACUACUGUGCUUCGCAUCAAAGAUACUGGCGGAAGCGAAUUCUCUCCUGAAACUUCAGGAGAGCACUCCCGGCAAGCCAUUCAUGCGGUCCAAGGUUCCUCCACUUCCAUUCCUGCUGUCGUCGCUGCUUCAGUCGCGGCCUCCGCUGAAGCAUUCCGACGAGAAUGCGGUUGGCGAAGACGACACUGAUGAUGAUAUUGAGGACGUGGAAGACUCUGAUGAGGAAGACUACGAUGAACUUCCUCCAUUCAGACGCCUCACGAGGGACGAGCUGGAUCAACUUGACAAAUCGAGCAGGGACGAGUACUUUGAGGAGCUGCAGAUGAGGGAGAAGCUCUUCCAGAAGAAGCAGUGGAAGGAAGAGAUUCGACGGCGCAGGGAGAUGAAGAAACGCGCGGCAUCGUCUGAUUCUGCCGAAGAGUAUCCGGCUCCAGUUGACGACGGCUAUGACGAUGACAACAAGUCGGCACCGGUCCCAGUGCCACUUCCGGAUAUGCAACUGCCGCCUACUUUCGACUCCGAUAAUCCUGUUCAUCGGUACCGCUACCUUGAAACUGCAAGUCAGUGGCUUGUGCGUCCUGUGAUGGACUUGCAUGGCUGGGACCGUGACAGCGGCUACGAUGGCUUCAACAUGGAGCGUAUGUUCACGUAUGGCAAGAUCCCAGCGUCUCUCAGCGGCCAGGUGACGAAGGACAAGAAGGAAGCCAACGUGACGCUCGAGUGCGCGGCAUCGAUGAAGCACGGAGAAGGGAAGGUGUCGCAGGCCGGUUUCGACGUCCAGACGGUGGGGAAGGACUUCUCCUACACGCUGAGGAGCGAGACAAGGUUCAGCAACUUCAAGAAGAACAAGACGAUCGCCGGCCUAGCGAUGACGAUGAUCGGCGACACUCUGGCUUACGGGAUGAAGAUCGAGGACAGGCUGAUGAUCGGGAGGAGAGUGAAGGUGGUGAUGAACGGGGGCGCGCUCACCGGGAAGGGAGACACUGCCUAUGGAGGCACGGUGGAGAUCAGCCUGAGGGACAAGGAUUUCCCGCUGGGACGAUCGCUCUCGACGUGUGGACUGUCGGUGAUGAACUGGCACGGCGAUAUGGCUCUCGGGGGUAACUUACAGUCGCAGUUCAUGGUCGGGAAGACAAUGGUGGUGGCUCGCGGCAAUCUAAAUAACCGUGGAGCUGGGCAGAUCACUAUUAGGCUGAGCUCCUCGGAGCAGCUCCAGAUCGCUCUCAUCGGGGUCAUGCCACUCAUCAAGGCUCUCUUCAACUCCAAGUUUGGAACCGGCCAGCAAGCUUGACGAGGUUUGCUGCUAUUGCUACUGCUUUUUCUUCUUACUGCUGCUGCUACGCUCCAGGGACGCUUUAUGUUUGGAUGUUUUUUUCGCUUCUUUUCUUUCGUUAUUCUAGCUCCAUAAGUUCGUGUGUUGUGUGAUUGGUUGACAGUUGCACAGCACAGGAAGGAUGUGAACAAAACAAGUCUGCUGACAGGUUUUUGCAAGGAAAGAAGAGGAGAGAAAAAAGCUUUGCCAU